UGGCUCAGAACGAACGCUGGCGGCAUGCUUUACACAUGCAAGUCGAACGGCAGCAUGGAAGAGCUUGCUCUUCUGAUGGCGAGUGGCGAACGGGUGAGUAAAGCAUCGGAACGUACCGUGUAAUGGGGGAUAACGUAGCGAAAGUUACGCUAAUACCGCAUACGACCUGAGGGUGAAAGCAGGGGAUCGCAAGACCUUGCGUUAUACGAGCGGCCGAUGUCAGAUUAGCUAGUUGGUAGGGUAAAGGCCUACGCGAGAAGACGAUCUGUAGCGGGUCUGAGAGGAUGAUCCGCCACACUGUUCCUGAGACACNGGACGGACUCCUACGG
Molecule: ribosomal RNA, 329 nt
Filed under: uncultured bacterium
Lineage: Bacteria
Description: bacterial SSU rRNA
Rfam family: Bacterial small subunit ribosomal RNA
Source: RNAcentral